GCGAGGGUCGCCCAGCCAGGUCAAAGGCGUCAGACUUAAGAUCUGAUAACGAAGGUUUUCAAGGGUUCGAAUCCCUUCCCUCGCA
This is a non-coding RNA of Methanococcoides burtonii DSM 6242, 85 nucleotides long. The record is from Rfam. Lineage: Archaea; Methanobacteriati; Methanobacteriota; Methanomicrobia; Methanosarcinales; Methanosarcinaceae.